CUACGGGACGCUGCAGUGGGGAAUAUUGCACAAUGGGGGGAACCCUGAUGCAGCAACGCCGCGUGCAGGAUGACGCAUUUCGGUGUGUAAACUCCUUUUAUAUGUCAAGAAAAUGACGGUAGCAUAUGAAUAAGCACCGGCUAACUCCGUGCCAGCAGCCGCGGUAAUACGGAGGGUGCAAGCGUUACUCGGAAUCACUGGGCGUAAAGGACGCGUAGGCGGGUUGGAAAGUCAGGUGUGAAAUCCUACAGCUUAACUGUAGAACUGCACUUGAAACUUCUAAUCUAGAGUAUGGGAGGGGGAGAUGGAAUUAGUGGUGUAGGGGUAAAAUCCGUAGAUAUCACUAGGAAUACCUAAAGCGAAGGCGAUCUCCUGGAACAUUACUGACGCUAAGGCGUGAAAGCGUGGGGAGCAAACAGGAUUAGAUACCCCCGUAGUC
Molecule: ribosomal RNA, 439 nt
Filed under: uncultured bacterium
Lineage: Bacteria
Description: partial 16S ribosomal RNA
Rfam family: Bacterial small subunit ribosomal RNA
Source: RNAcentral